RNAcentral lists this transfer-messenger RNA (330 nucleotides) under bacterium. Its description in RNAcentral is "partial transfer-messenger RNA". It matches the Rfam family "transfer-messenger RNA". Rfam says of the family: Bacterial tmRNA, also known as 10Sa RNA or SsrA, is named for its dual tRNA and mRNA-like properties. Its role is to liberate the mRNA from a stalled ribosome. The record is from RNAcentral.
GGUUUCGACAGGAAUAUUUAAGCAUAGAUGGCAAGUCGUAUGCUUACGUUACAAGCAAAAUUAAAUAUAACUGGAAACAGAAAUCAAUUAGCUUUUGCUUAAUUAAAUGCAAAGCAUCUUACUAUUUUUUAUCUACAGGAAAUAGCUAAGGUUCAAUUAUGUGGAUUAUAUUUUAGUAAUGUCUAUAGCUAAAAUGAAUUUAAUAGACUAGCUUAUUAUUUUGGUCGUUAAUUACUUGAAUAGUAGGCAAAUUUAAUUAGUUAACUAAACUUGUAGAAGUUUAUGUAUUGGUAUUUUUGGACAGGAGUUCGAUUCUCCUCAGCUCCACCA